UUUAAAGUCUGACCUGCCCAAUGAAAAUUGAAUGGCCGCAGUAUUUUGACUGUGCUAAGGUAGCAUAAUCAUUAGUUUUUUAAUUGAAAGCUGGAAUGAAAGGUUUGAUGAAAAACUAACUGUCUCAAUUUAAAAAUUGAAUUUUAUUUUUAAGUAAAAAAGCUUAAAUUUAUUAAUAAGACGAGAAGACCCUAUAGAGUUUUAUAUUAUUUGUAAUAAGAAUAAUUAGAUUAAAUUAAUUUUUUUUAAAAAUAGUAUUUUAUUGGGGUGAUAAUAAAAUUUAAUAAACUUUUAAUUUUAUAAACAUAAAUUUAUGAAUAAUUGAUCCUUUGAAAAGAUUAAAAGAAAAAAUUACCUUAGGGAUAACAGCGUAAUUUUUUUUGAGAGUUCUAAUCGAAAAAAGAGAUUGCGACCUCGAUGUUGGAUUAAAAUUAAUAAUUGGUGGAGAAGCUAAUUAAUUAGGUCUGUUCGACCUUUAAAAUUUUACA
Molecule: ribosomal RNA, 488 nt
Filed under: Holostrophus orientalis
Lineage: Eukaryota; Metazoa; Arthropoda; Insecta; Coleoptera; Tetratomidae
Description: partial 16S ribosomal RNA
Rfam family: Bacterial large subunit ribosomal RNA
Source: RNAcentral